This 349-nucleotide ribosomal RNA is filed under the name uncultured soil bacterium. RNAcentral's name for it is "bacterial SSU rRNA". It matches the Rfam family "Bacterial small subunit ribosomal RNA", at positions 26 to 373 of the family's 1533-position model. The record is from RNAcentral.
AGAUUGAACGCUGGCGGCAUGCCUUACACAUGCAAGUCGAACGGCAGCACGGACUUCGGUCUGGUGGCGAGUGGCGAACGGGUGAGUAAUAUAUCGGAACGUACCCUGGAGUGGGGGAUAACGCGAGCGAAAGUUGCGCUAAUACCGCAUACGAUCUACGGAUGAAAGUGGGGGCUCGCAAGACCUCAUGCUCGUGGAGCGGCCGAUAUCUGAUUAGCUAGUUGGUAGGUAAAAGCUACCAAGGCCUACGAUCAGUAGCUGGUCUGAGAGGACGACCGACGCCACGACGUGGGACUGAGACACGGCCCAGACUCCUACGGGAGCAGCGAGGUGGGAAUUUGGAACAAGU